GAACUCAGUAUUAGUGCAAAGACGGUGGAAGUAAACGCCUCCGUAGCAGCUGCGUAAACAGAACGUGAGUCUUUUUGAAAUGUUCGUUUUAUCCUUUUAUGCAAACUUAUUCUUAUUAAGCAGCGCCUAACACAGUCUACUGUCUGUUUGUAGCUUCAGCCUGGUGUCUGCAUGUAACCCUGGCUUGGUGUCUUUUUAUAUGGUGACCAGUAAAUGGUGCACACAACCACGAGUCUACUGACACGUGAUCGCAUAACUGCGAUUUGUGAGUCACACGGGGUAGCAGCAAGGACAGAAAGCUCACGUCAGGUGAGAGUGCACUGCUUCGCGUCAUCCACGUGAACGCAUUGGUACUGGAGUUGUAGGUCUAGUUCAUCUAGGCUGGCCCAAACACGAGGAUUGCCGUCGUCUGUUCGACCAGUCACUGUUUUUCCCAGGACCGAAUUUGUCUACUUGUAUCUAUUUUGAAUGUAACCUACGAGUGCUAUAAACAUCUGCCACCCGUAUCGUGGGCAAAUUGGGAGACUAGGGGGAAGGCCGGCUAGUGGUAGCCCUUUAACCCAAAUUGUUUUGUCUUUUGUUUGUUAUUUUGUUUAUUAUAUCUUUCUUGUGUGGCCCAUGGGCAUUUUUACAUCAUCUCUUGUGGGAACAGUAUUUGUUUUCAGUGUCUUAGUGUUUGUUUUCAGUGUUUUUGUGUUUUUUUCAUUUGCUGUUAACUGCAUGGGUUUUAUUGCACUUGUUGCUAACCAGCAUGUUCAUUGAUUAUUGUACAAUAAAUGUUUAUUGAUUGCAUCAGUCCCAUUUCUGUGCCUUCAUUGGACA
Long non-coding RNA from Gadus chalcogrammus (walleye pollock), 822 nucleotides. RefSeq lists it as uncharacterized. Lineage: Eukaryota; Metazoa; Chordata; Actinopteri; Gadiformes; Gadidae. The record is from RefSeq and is a predicted model, not a curated record. The transcript has 3 exons.